This 1074-nucleotide long non-coding RNA is filed under the name Lepisosteus oculatus (spotted gar). RNAcentral's name for it is "lncRNA (ENSLOCG00000021768.1)". The record is from RNAcentral. Lineage: Eukaryota; Metazoa; Chordata; Actinopteri; Semionotiformes; Lepisosteidae.
AGAGAACGUACAAAGUGCAUGGAGAUAGCACCUCAGGAACUGAACCUAGGGCCCCAGCGCUGUGAGGCAGCAACACUAACCAAACUCACUGUGAAUCAGGGUUAUUCCACCUACUGUAUGGAAAAAUAAUUAACAGUGCAGGAAAUAAUCUGCCUCCCAAGACUUUUGUUCUUAAACAGAAAGCUGUAAGAAUAGAGUUUUGCCAAUAUUGUGAAAUUGCAUUUAAUCGUUUUAGAAAUGUUAUGUUCUUAAGUUUUGUAAAUCAACAUUUUAAAGCCUCUUUCCCCCCAAAAUGAUACAGACAUUUCCUAAACAAUCCCUAGCGUGGCUUCUGCUUUACACAAAAAACACCAGAACAGGUGUGUUGUUUGGUAUGACGUUCUUUAACUGGGUGUGAAAUUCCUACACUAAUACAGCAACUACAAGAACUUUGGGGAGGGUCAUGUAUUUUAAUGAUUAUUUACAUGAAUAUGAAAGGACACACCUCUUUGUGUACAGCAUAAUAUAACCAGUUAUUACAGAUAAGAGUAGGUAAAGCUACUGACUGAUACUCACACCAGACAAAACACUUGUGCGCAGAGUAGAGGAACUAUGGACGAUGAAAGAACGAAGAAAGAAGAAAUAAGGCAGUCCUGGGAUCACUUCAGAGAGGUGCCCGACAUUCAGGAUGAACAGAAACCCAGGAAGCUGUUCAGGUUCAUCCACUAUGUUAUCUGCACUCUAAUUGGACUGACAGUCUUUGCUCUUGGCUUUUUCAGCAAGUCCUCCCUGCUCCUCCUAAUAACAGUGUCCAGCAGUUCUUCUACCACCAUCUCAACAAGAGCCUUCGGACUCCUGCUCUUAGGCUGCACUCUGAUCGUUCCCAGCAUCCUCACGUUGGCCAAGAGCCUUUGGAAAAUUGCCUUUAAAGACUCAAAGACACCCUCAGCAAAGACCAUCUUCUGGGUAAGACAAUAAUCACCACAACAAAUGCUACUGUCUGUUCUACUAAUUGUAUAUCUGGAUUAUUCUUAUACUGCAUGAAUUGGGAAACUGUAAAGCAUGCAAUAGAGCAGGUUAUUGAUCCAGCUUCUG